RNAcentral lists this ribosomal RNA (434 nucleotides) under uncultured Lachnospiraceae bacterium. RNAcentral's name for it is "partial 16S ribosomal RNA". It matches the Rfam family "Bacterial small subunit ribosomal RNA", at positions 341 to 792 of the family's 1533-position model. The record is from RNAcentral. Lineage: Bacteria; Bacillati; Bacillota; Clostridia; Lachnospirales; Lachnospiraceae.
ACGGAAGGCAGCAGUGGGGAAUAUUGGACAAUGGGGGAAACCCUGAUCCAGCGACGCCGCGUGAGCGAUGAAGUAUUUCGGUAUGUAAAGCUCUAUCAGCAGGGAAGAAAAUGACGGUACCUGACUAAGAAGCCCCGGCUAACUACGUGCCAGCAGCCGCGGUAAUACGUAGGGGGCAAGCGUUAUCCGGAUUUACUGGGUGUAAAGGGAGCGCAGGCGGUAGAUUAAGUCUGAUGUGAAAACCCAAGGCUCAACCAUGGGAUUGCAUUGGAAACUGGUUUACUUGAGUGUCGGAGAGGUAAGCGGAAUUCCUAGUGUAGCGGUGAAAUGCGUAGAUAUUAGGAGGAACACCAGUGGCGAAGGCGGCUUACUGGACGAUAACUGACGCUGAGGCUCGAAAGCGUGGGGAGCAAACAGGAUUAGAUACCCUGGUA